GCCAGGUGUGGUGGCUCACGCCUGUAAUCCCAGCACUUUGGGAGGCUGAGGCGGGUGGAUCACCUGAGGUCAGGAGUUCGAGACCAGCCUGGCCAACAUGGUGAAACCCCGUCUCUA
This 117-nucleotide non-coding RNA is filed under the name Pan troglodytes (chimpanzee). Lineage: Eukaryota; Metazoa; Chordata; Mammalia; Primates; Hominidae. The record is from Rfam by way of RNAcentral.